UAUGUAGGCAGCGAGCGUUGUUCGGAAUUACUGGGCGUAAAGAGUGUGUAGGCGGUGCUCCCAGUCUGUUGUGAAAUCUCCCGGCUUAACUGGGAGGGUGCAGCGGAAACUAGAGUGCUAGAGGGUGGGAGAGGUAAGCGGAAUUCCUGGUGUAGCGGUGAAAUGCGUAGAUAUCAGGAGGAACACCUGUGGUGUAGACAGCUUACUGGACCACUUCUGACGCUGAGACACGAAAGCGUGGGUAGCAAACAGG
Molecule: ribosomal RNA, 253 nt
Filed under: uncultured bacterium
Lineage: Bacteria
Description: partial 16S ribosomal RNA
Rfam family: Bacterial small subunit ribosomal RNA
Source: RNAcentral